This 630-nucleotide ribosomal RNA is filed under the name uncultured bacterium. RNAcentral describes it as "bacterial SSU rRNA". It matches the Rfam family "Bacterial small subunit ribosomal RNA", at positions 9 to 606 of the family's 1533-position model. The record is from RNAcentral.
GAGUUUGAUCCUGGCUCAGGACGAACGCUGGCGGCGUGCCUAAUACAUGCAAGUCGAGCGAGCUGAACCAGCAGAUUCACUCCGGUGAUGACGCUGGGAACGCGAGCGGCGGAUGGGUGAGUAACACGUGGGUAACCUGCCCUAAAGUCUGGGAUACCACUUGGAAACAGGUGCUAAUACCGGAUAACAACAAUAGCUGCAUGGCUAUUGCUUAAAAGGCGGCGAAAGCUGUCGCUAAAGGAUGGACCCGCGGUGCAUUAGCUAGUUGGUAAGGUAAUGGCUUACCAAGGCGACGAUGCAUAGCCGAGUUGAGAGACUGAUCGGCCACAUUGGGACUGAGACACGGCCCAAACUCCUACGGGAGGCAGCAGUAGGGAAUCUUCCACAAUGGGCGAAAGCCUGAUGGAGCAACGCCGCGUGAGUGAAGAAGGUUUUCGGAUCGUAAAGCUCUGUUGUUGGUGAAGAAGGAUAGAGGUAGUAACUGGCCCCUAUUUGACGGUAAUCAACCAGAAAGUCACGGCUAACUACGUGCCAGCAGCCGCGGUAAUACGUAGGUGGCAAGCGUUGUCCGGAUUUAUUGGGCGUAAAGCGAGCGCAGGCGGAAAGAUAAGUCUGAUGUGAAAGCCCCCG